RNAcentral lists this ribosomal RNA (456 nucleotides) under uncultured Burkholderia sp. RNAcentral's name for it is "bacterial SSU rRNA". It matches the Rfam family "Bacterial small subunit ribosomal RNA", at positions 202 to 640 of the family's 1533-position model. Lineage: Bacteria; Pseudomonadati; Pseudomonadota; Betaproteobacteria; Burkholderiales; Burkholderiaceae. The record is from RNAcentral.
AGAGGGGGGGAUCUUAGGACCUCCCGCUACAGGGGCGGCCGAUGGCAGAUUAGCUAGUUGGUGGGGUAAAGGCCUACCAAGGCGACGAUCUGUAGCUGGUCUGAGAGGACGACCAGCCACACUGGGACUGAGACACGGCCCAGACUCCUACGGGAGGCAGCAGUGGGGAAUUUUGGACAAUGGGGGAAACCCUGAUCCAGCAAUGCCGCGUGUGUGAAGAAGGCCUUCGGGUUGUAAAGCACUUUUGUCCGGAAAGAAAUCCUCUUGGCUAAUACCGAGGGGGGAUGACGGUACCGGAAGAAUAAGCACCGGCUAACUACGUGCCAGCAGCCGCGGUAAUACGUAGGGUGCAAGCGUUAAUCGGAAUUACUGGGCGUAAAGCGUGCGCAGGCGGUUCGCUAAGACAGAUGUGAAAUCCCCGGGCUUAACCUGGGAACUGCAUUUGUGACUGGCGGG